AAGUCGUAACAAGGUUUCCGUAAGUGAACCUGCGGAAGAAUCAUUAACACGUAUCCAACGUUAAACCCCCCUGUCAACCUUCAUUGUGCUCCCCCAUUCCGUUAGGACGCGGCAAUCCCUGGUAAAUCAUCGCCGAACAGUUUUGAUUCAGGGACCUCUGCAUGGAGUGGGCAGCAGCGCGAGUGGCAUUCGAAAGAAUGGCGCAGUAACGAUCGCUAGAGGCCGACACGGCCGGCGACCGGGUCACUGGGCUCACGCCCCCCUAUCACCUUUGCAUGAAAACGGCCACCAAACUCGAACAACUGUUAACAAUGGAUAUCUUGGUUCUC
This 329-nucleotide unclassified non-coding RNA is filed under the name fungal sp. RNAcentral's name for it is "partial internal transcribed spacer region". The stretch from base 1 to 46 matches the Rfam family "Eukaryotic small subunit ribosomal RNA", at positions 1786 to 1831 of the family's 1831-position model. Lineage: Eukaryota; Fungi. The record is from RNAcentral.